GAUGAACGCUGGCGGCGUGCCUAAUACAUGCAAGUCGAGCGAACGGACGAGAAGCUUGCUUUUCUGAUGUUAGCGGCGGACGGGUGAGUAACACGUGGAUAACCUACCUAUAAGACUGGGAUAACUUCGGGAAACCGGAGCUAAUACCGGAUAAUAUUUUGAACCGCAUGGUUCAAAAGUGAAAGACGGUCUUGCUGUCACUUAUAGAUGGAUCCGCGCUGCAUUAGCUAGUUGGUAAGGUAACGGCUUACCAAGGCAACGAUGCAUAGCCGACCUGAGAGGGUGAUCGGCCACACUGGAACUGAGACACGGUCCAGACUCCUACGGGAGGCAGCAGUAGGGAAUCUUCCGCAAUGGGCGAAAGCCUGACGGAGCAACGCCGCGUGAGUGAUGAAGGUCUUCGGAUCGUAAAACUCUGUUAUUAGGGAAUAACAUAUGUGUAAGUAACUGUGCACAUCUUGACGGUACCUAAUCAGAAAGCCACGGCUAACUACGUG
This 497-nucleotide ribosomal RNA is filed under the name uncultured bacterium. RNAcentral's name for it is "partial 16S ribosomal RNA". It matches the Rfam family "Bacterial small subunit ribosomal RNA", at positions 28 to 507 of the family's 1533-position model. The record is from RNAcentral.